UUUUUUUUUUUUUUUUUUGCUUUUUAGGGCUGCAUUCGCGGCACAUGGAGGUUCCCAGGCUAGGAGUUGAAUUGGAGCUAUAGCUGCUGGCCUAUGCCACAGCCACUGCAACACGGGAUCCGAGCCACAUUUCGAUCCACACCACAGCUCACAGCAAUGCCGGAUCCUUAAUCCACUGAGAAAGGCCAGGGAUGGAACCCCCAUCCUCAUGGAUACUAGUUGGAUUCGUUUCCACUGCACCGUGACGGGAACUCCUUUUCCUCUUCUUAUAAGGACAUCAGUUAGACUGGAUUCAGAGCCCACCCUACUCCCACAUGAUCUCAUCUUAACUAGUUAUAUCUGUAAAAAUGCCUUUUCCAGAUAAGGUCACAUUCUGAGAUUUGGGGAAACACAUGAAUUUUGAAGUGACACUCUUCCGAUACACAUCACAGCUGAUCACCACUGGCUCUGAAUCCAGAGGCUCCCAGCUGCUAUCUCAACAGUUACUUUUCUUUACAAAGUUAACCUAAAUGCAAGGGGGGACUACCUACUCCAGAAAUAUGGUUUCCUUUCAUUGUUUAUGGAUAGAUUAUUGUACAGAUUCAUUUUCCAGGUUCCAGGGAGGGAACAUACAGGGAAAGACAAGCAUCGGCCUUGCUUAAGCACUUACUAUAUUCUCCACUGAGACAAUGUAUAUGUUCAAUUCAACAUAACCUGUAAAACUCCAUGGAAACAGAAGCCAAAUAAAUUGUUGUUCAGGGCAUAAUGCUGUGCAAACAUCCAUGCCAAUUUUACUAAACCCUGAAGCGAAAGUCUGAGUAAUUAAUUGUUUCAGGGGAAAUAACUUCAUUUUAAUUUUGAGGUUAAAAUCUGUGUAUAAUUUGGAAACUUAUCAGAAAAUUGAAAGCUUGUAUUUUGUCACCAAAAGUUAGUUUCACUUAUUUAUCAAAAUGAUAAAACUGGGACAUUGAGAAACUGCAUUAAAUUCUUCACAUUGCACAUGCGUAUUCAGGAUGAUCGGAACACUACGUCUCUCUUUCUGCAGAAAGCAAACAUCUAUAAUGUGCUGUAAGAUGGGUACUUAAUAACAUCUUCCUUGCACAAGGUCUGGAGUAGAAUAUUUAAGCUUUAUUGUUCUUUCUGUAAAUUCAGACCAUGCAGUCUACAAUAACCAAAACUAUCUUAAAGAUUAAACACAGAGAAAAAAAAUUCAAGGAGCCUAUGCCUGUUUUUCUGGUCUUUGGAACGAGCUCCUUUGGGGUCCUGAGUCCAUCAUGAGUGAGGCACACUGCUUAUCUCUUUUAAUGAGAAGUUGGUUUUAUCAGACUUCCAUUAAAACUCUCUUCUAAUUUGUUCAUAAAAGUUUUGAACUGGAAGAGCAGAACAAGGGUCCUAUACACUUCUCUUCAGAUUGCCAUCACCCUUUGGUAAGAGCCAUGAGCCACAAACAAACCCACCUUGCUGAACCAUCACUGGCCUAACCUCGUUUUCCCAGAUGCCUAGUGGUGUGGUAUGAGAGACUGUUGGGUGCUGUGUUAACAAACCCACUAAUGCUAUGUCUACUUACCUCCUUUUAUUUGAUUUGUUAGUAGCUAAGUGUGGGGGGAAUCACGCCAAAAAAGAAAUAAGGUUAACUGUAGCUGAUCUGUUAGUUAAUCUGAUUAUUUAGCUAUUUGUUCGCGAAGCAGUGGUUACAUCUUUCCUUUUUAAGAAAGAUAUUAUUUGAGUUUUUGAAUUUUGGCCAGGAUUAACAUUACCAACACACUGUUUCUAGACAUAAUAAUAACUCUAAUCAUUGCCAUUUUAUUGAGUUCCUAUUCUGUCUCAGGCACUGUAUUAAGUGCUUUAUUUACGUUAUUUCAUUUAAUUUCUACUACAAGCCUUGGUGGUAGAUUUUACUCCCAGAUGGAGAAUGAAGGCCAGAGUUGUUUCAUUGCUUUUCCAUAUCCACACGGUUUAUAUGAGACAGCCAGUAUCCAUGGCACUUCUGUCUAAUUCAUAAGCCCACGCUUAUAACUACAGCUCUGAUCACCUGAUGAUAUCCUCUACAAAUCAAUACUGCACUUUAUGAAUGUUUAUUGUGCUAUCUGUUAAGUGUGUCCCUUCUCUAAGAACCAUGUCUUAUUUCUCUUUUUACCCCAGCACUUAGCACAGUACUUGUUACCUAGAAACAUUCUCCAUAAAGUUUUGUUAAGUAAAUGCAUUAAAAAAAUGUCAUUUUAUUAUCCAUGAUCUUCCUAUGUCUGAAAAUUAGGAGACCUCCCUUAUCCAACCUAUCUCCUUGUCCACAGGGAUUACAGAUAUGGCACAAUUAUCUUUACGUUUCUGGCACUCAGGGAGUCUCAUAAUAUCCUCUCUAUCCAAGGCUUAAAGAGAGUCUUUGCUUAGCUUUUUCAAUCUCUGAUCAUCACCUGGUCAGAGAACACAAAGCAAAAUGGAAAAUCAGCAGUUUUCUUUUCUUUCAGGGCCAUUAACUUGUCACCAGCUGUCAGAUAUGAACUUAAGCCUGCUAUAUUUUUCAUCUCUAAACAUAAAUCACUUCUUAUUACCUUUAAUCUUUUUCUUAUGAAACAGAUCACCAUGAUACAUUGGGGCAACACACUUAAAACUGAGCACUUUUAGGCCUAAAGUAUCAUUCUUUUACCUAUCCAUGAAAUCACAUUUAAAAUACAAUUUUAAUAAUUUCAGAACACUGGGGGAAGAAUAAGUUAAUAAAUGUUCCUAAUACUCUAAGAAUUCUGAAUUAUGUUUAUAUAUCUAGCAAUCUCACAAAUGGAGAAAAAUUGCAAAAAAUGGUGGCUUUAUUCUUCAAAAUGGAAAGAUAUUCUGUUUUGGGUUUGACGAACAUCUACCAAUUUUUGUCUCCUUGCCUAUUCUUUUGUUUUGUUUUGUUUGUUUUUUAGGGCCACACCUGCAGCAUGUGGAGGUUCCCAGGCUAGGGGUAGAACAGGAGCUGCAGCUGCCGGCCUACCCUACAGCCACAGCAAUGUGGGAUCUGAGCUCCGUCUGCGACCAACACAGCUCACAGUAAUGCUGGAUCCUUAACUUAGUGAGGCCAGCUUUCUAACCCAUACCCUCAUGGACACUAGUUGGGUUCAUAACCUGCUGAAUCACAGUGGGAACUCACUCCUUGCCUAUUUGCACACACACGAACACACACACAGAGGAAUACAUGCUCAGGCAGUGUAGUUUGACAGUUAUCUCCUCCCACCCAGGAAUUCUAUGUUUUGGUCAGUAAUUUGGAAUGUGCUUAAUAUUCAACUUAAUGUGGUCCCUAACUCAAUAGUCUACAGGGAGGGAACCAGAUGGCAUAUAUCAAGAUCUCAGAAAUCAAGAUCUUCACUCACUCAAGGGUUGGAUGCAUCAAACAGAUGAACUCGGCAAAUGCCAGCAACAAUACUGAUCUCAGGAGAACCAUUGGCUGAGAUCCCCAACUAGGAAGGAAUAAAGCCUGAGCAUAUUCAAGUCACACAGGAACCAGAUUAAAGUCAGAUGUAAGGUGGAGCGGAGGGGCAAAAUGGAUAAAGGGGGUCAACUCUAUGAUGAUGAAUGGAAACUAAAUUUUUGGUAGUGAGCAUGCUGUAGUAUAUACAGAAGUAGAAAUAUAAUGUUGUACACAUGAAACUUUAAAAAAUAGCCAGAUAUGGGAGUUCCCAUCGCGGCUCAGUGGUUAAUGAAUCUGACUAGGAACCAUGAGGUUGGGGAUUCAAUCCCUGGCCUUGCUCAGUGGGUUAAGGAUCCGGCGUUGCAGUGAGCUGUGGUGUUGGUCAGAGAUGCGGCUCGGAUCCCACAUUGCUGUGGCUCUGGUGUAGGCUGGCAGCUGUCGCUCUGAUUAGACCCCUAACCUGGGAACCUCCAUAUGCUGAGGGUGUAGCCCUAAAAGACAAC
RNAcentral lists this long non-coding RNA (3867 nucleotides) under Sus scrofa (pig). RNAcentral describes it as "lncRNA (ENSSSCG00000063117.1)". The record is from RNAcentral. Lineage: Eukaryota; Metazoa; Chordata; Mammalia; Artiodactyla; Suidae.